CAAAGGAAAAAUUCCAAACCAUGCGAUAAAUAAAAAGAAACACAUGUGGUUUCACGAAUUCUUUUUAACGAUAUUCAGUUAACAUAAUUACGUUUUUUUAAUAUGUCACAACAUUUAAAUGGAUAUAUUUGGUAAACAAAGUUUUAUUUUGUAUUUAAAUGUGUAGCUAGUUUGACAAAGCUUGAUUGAACACGAUUCCUUGUUGAUUAAUUAACCAAUAACUCAACAAAUAAGGCAUUAACGGCUAUAGAAACAAAAAAACAAAACAAA
Long non-coding RNA from Ruditapes philippinarum (Manila clam), 270 nucleotides. RefSeq lists it as uncharacterized. NCBI's taxonomy places the organism in Eukaryota, Metazoa, Mollusca, Bivalvia, Venerida, Veneridae. The transcript is spliced from 2 exons. The record is from RefSeq and is a predicted model, not a curated record.